This 747-nucleotide ribosomal RNA is filed under the name uncultured bacterium. RNAcentral describes it as "bacterial SSU rRNA". It matches the Rfam family "Bacterial small subunit ribosomal RNA", at positions 170 to 916 of the family's 1533-position model. The record is from RNAcentral.
CCUAUAAUACAGGGGUCCCGCAUGGGAAUAUUUGUUAAAGAUUCAUCGGUUUGUAGAUGAGCAUGCGUUCCAUUAGCUAGUUGGUGAGGUAACGGCCCACCAAGGCAACGAUGGAUAGGGGAACUGAGAGGUUUAUCCCCCACACUGGUACUGAGACACGGACCAGACUCCUACGGGAGGCAGCAGUGAGGAAUAUUGGUCAAUGGACGCAAGUCUGAACCAGCCACGUCGCGUGAAGGAAGACGGCCCUACGGGUUGUAAACUUCUUUUGUAAGGGAAUAAAGUGAGUCACGAGUGACUUUUUGCAUGUACCUUACGAAUAAGGAUCGGCUAACUCCGUGCCAGCAGCCGCGGUAAUACGGAGGAUCCGAGCGUUAUCCGGAUUUAUUGGGUUUAAAGGGUGCGCAGGCGGGAGAUUAAGUCGGCGGUGAAAUUUUGCAGCUCAACUGUAAAAGUGCCAUCGAUACUGGUUUUCUUGAGUGUGGAUGAAGUAGGCGGAAUUUGUGGUGUAGCGGUGAAAUGCAUAGAUAUCACGAGGAACACCGAUUGCGCAGGCAGCUUACUAAACCAUAACUGACGCUCAGGCACGAAGGCGUGGGGAUCAAACAGGAUUAGAUACCCUGGUAGUCCACGCAGUAAACGAUGAUUACUGGCUGUUUGCGAUAUACAGUAAGCGGCUGAGCGAAAGCGUUAAGUAAUCCACCUGGGGAGUACGUUCGCAAGAAUGAAACUCAAAGGAAUUGACGG